GGUGCAAGCGUUUUCCGGAAUUAUUGGGCGUAAAGAGUUCGUAGGCGGUUUGUUGCGUCGGCUGUGAAAUCCCGAGGCUCAACCUCGGGUCUGCAGUCGAUACGAGCAAACUAGAGUGUUGCAGGGGAGACUGGAAUUCCUGGUGUAGCGGUGAAAUGCGCAGAUAUCAGGAGGAACACCGGUGGCGAAGGCGGGUCUCUGGGCAACAACUGACGCUGAGGAGCGAAAGCGUGGGGAGCGAACAGG
RNAcentral lists this ribosomal RNA (246 nucleotides) under uncultured bacterium. RNAcentral describes it as "partial 16S ribosomal RNA". It matches the Rfam family "Bacterial small subunit ribosomal RNA", at positions 531 to 776 of the family's 1533-position model. The record is from RNAcentral.